This 203-nucleotide ribosomal RNA is filed under the name uncultured bacterium. RNAcentral describes it as "partial 16S ribosomal RNA". It matches the Rfam family "Bacterial small subunit ribosomal RNA", at positions 28 to 233 of the family's 1533-position model. The record is from RNAcentral.
GACGAACGCUGGCGGCGUGCUUAACACAUGCAAGUCGAGCGGUAAGGCCCUUUCGGGGGUACACGAGCGGCGAACGGGUGAGUAACACGUGGGUGACCUGCCCUCAGCUCUGGGAUAAGCCUGGGAAACUGGGUCUAAUACUGGAUAUGACUCCACGGUGCAUGUCGUGGGGUGAAAGCCUUGUGCGGCUGAGGAUGGGCCCG